CCAAUAGCGUAUAUUAAAGUUGUUGCAGUUAAAAAGCUCGUAGUUGAAUUUCGGGGUUAGUAGGUUGGUCAUGCCUCUGGUAUGUACUGGUCUCACUGAUUCCUCCUUCCUGAUGAACCGUAAUGCCAUUAUUUGGUGUUGCGGGGAAUUUGGACUGUUACUUUGAAAAAAUUAGAGUGUUUAAAGCAAGCUAACGCUUGAAUACAUUAGCAUGGAAUAAUGAAAUAGGACGUUCGAUCCUAUUUUGUUGGUUUCUAGGAUUGACGUAAUGAUUAAUAGGGAUAGUUAGGGGCAUUAGUAUUGAAUUGUCAGAGGUGAGAUUCUUGGAUUUAUUGAAGACUAACUACUGCGAAAGCAUUUGCCAAGGAUGUUUUCAUUAAUCAAGAACGAAAGUUAGGGGAUCGAAGACGAUCAGAUACCGUCGUAGUCUUAACCAUAAACUAUGCCGACUAGGGAUCGGAUGAUGUUAAUUUUUUAAUGACUCGUUUGGCACCUUACG
This 499-nucleotide ribosomal RNA is filed under the name uncultured Glomeromycotina. RNAcentral's name for it is "partial small subunit ribosomal RNA". It matches the Rfam family "Eukaryotic small subunit ribosomal RNA", at positions 591 to 1092 of the family's 1831-position model. The record is from RNAcentral. Lineage: Eukaryota; Fungi; Glomeromycota.